GUGAAGGUGUGUCGUGAGGCAUGCUGGAGGUAUCAGAAGUGCGAAUGCUGACAUAAGUAACGAUAAAGCGGGUGAAAAGCCCGCUCGCCGGAAGACCAAGGGUUCCUGUCCAACGUUAAUCGGGGCAGGGUGAGUCGACCCCUAAGGCGAGGCCGAAAGGCGUAGUCGAUGGGAAACGGGUUAAUAUUCCCGUACUUGGUGUUACUGCGAAGGGGGGACGGAGAAGGCUAUGUUGGCCGGGCGACGGUUGUCCCGGUUUAAGCGUGUAGGUGUGUGUUCCAGGUAAAUCCGGUUCACUUUAACACUGAGGCGUGACGACGAGGCACUACGGUGCUGAAGCAACAAAUGCCCUGCUUCCAGGAAAAGCCUCUAAGCAUCAGGUAACACGAAAUCGUACCCCAAACCGACACAGGUGGUCAGGUAGAGAAUACCAAGGCGCUUGAGAGAACUCGGGUGAAGGAACUAGGCAAAAUGGUGCCGUAACUUCGGGAGAAGGCACGCUGACACGUAGGUGAAGUGAUUUACUCAUGGAGCUGAAGUCAGUCGAAGAUACCAGCUGGCUGCAACUGUUUAUUAAAAACACAGCACUGUGCAAACACGAAAGUGGACGUAUACGGUGUGACGCCUGCCCGGUGCCGGAAGGUUAAUUGAUGGGGUCAGCGUAAGCGAAGCUCCUGAUCGAAGCCCCGGUAAACGGCGGCCGUAACUAUAACGGUCCUAAGGUAGCGAAAUUCCUUGUCGGGUAAGUUCCGACCUGCACGAAUGGCGUAAUGAUGGCCAGGCUGUCUCCACCCGAGACUCAGUGAAAUUGAACUCGCUGUGAAGAUGCAGUGUACCCGCGGCAAGACGGAAAGACCCCGUGAACCUUUACUAUAGCUUGACACUGAACAUUGAGCCUUGAUGUGUAGGAUAGGUGGGAGGCUUUGAAGUGUGGACGCCAGUCUGCAUGGAGCCGACCUUGAAAUACCACCCUUUAAUGUUUGAUGUUCUAACGUGGACCCGUAAUCCGGGUUGCGGACAGUGUCUGGUGGGUAGUUUGACUGGGGCGGUCUCCUCCUAAAGAGUAACGGAGGAGCACGAAGGUUGGCUAAUCCUGGUCGGACAUCAGGAGGUUAGUGCAAUGGCAUAAGCCAGCUUGACUGCGAGCGUGACGGCGCGAGCAGGUGCGAAAGCAGGUCAUAGUGAUCCGGUGGUUCUGAAUGGAAGGGCCAUCGCUCAACGGAUAAAAGGUACUCCGGGGAUAACAGGCUGAUACCGCCCAAGAGUUCAUAUCGACGGCGGUGUUUGGCACCUCGAUGUCGGCUCAUCACAUCCUGGGGCUGAAGUAGGUCCCAAGGGUAUGGCUGUUCGCCAUUUAAAGUGGUACGCGAGCUGGGUUUAGAACGUCGUGAGACAGUUCGGUCCCUAUCUGCCGUGGGCGCUGGAGAACUGAGGGGGGCUGCUCCUAGUACGAGAGGACCGGAGUGGACGCAUCACUGGUGUUCGGGUUGUCAUGCCAAUGGCACUGCCCGGUAGCUAAAUGCGGAAGAGAUAAGUGCUGAAAGCAUCUAAGCACGAAACUUGCCCCGAGAUGAGUUCUCCCUGAGACUUAGAGUCUCCUGAAGGAACGUUGAAGACGACGACGUUGAUAGGCCGGGUGUGUAAGCGCAGCGAUGCGUUGAGCUAACCGGUACUAAUGAACCGUGAGGCUUAACCUU
Molecule: ribosomal RNA, 1697 nt
Filed under: Salmonella enterica
Lineage: Bacteria; Pseudomonadati; Pseudomonadota; Gammaproteobacteria; Enterobacterales; Enterobacteriaceae
Description: partial 23S ribosomal RNA
Rfam family: Bacterial large subunit ribosomal RNA
Source: RNAcentral